RNAcentral lists this transfer-messenger RNA (455 nucleotides) under Methylobacterium tardum. RNAcentral describes it as "transfer-messenger RNA, SsrA". The stretch from base 45 to 217 matches the Rfam family "Alphaproteobacteria transfer-messenger RNA", at positions 68 to 185 of the family's 355-position model. Lineage: Bacteria; Pseudomonadati; Pseudomonadota; Alphaproteobacteria; Hyphomicrobiales; Methylobacteriaceae. The record is from RNAcentral.
ACGGGCCGGCCACAAUCGGAUACGCUGGCCGCGAGGUUGAUGACCGGUUCGUAAUAACGCUUCAGGACCCGGGGGCGGUACCCGGCGCCUCCACCAGAAGCAUCCUGCCCCGGAUACCGCACGGGGGUUAGGGCGCGCGUCCGGCGUUGCGGAUGGCGCGCUGCCAGGGUGCUUCUGCUGGGGGUGAAACAGGUUCGACUGGGCGGUAAAGGGAUCGCGAGUUCUGUCCUGCUUCGGCAGGGUAAGAUGCGGCUUUCGGUAAGGACUCGACCGGUUCGGCGCGGGCAACCCUCGUUCCGAGCACCUGACCAAAACUCUAAAUGCCAACGACAACGUCGGCAUGGAGAUGCGCCUCGCGGCGUAAUCUUCCGGGGCGUGGGCACGCCUAGCAACAGAACCCGGGGCUUCGGCCUUGGGGCCCGCUCAUUGUAUCCUGCCCGUCGCGGAUCAGGGUU